This 428-nucleotide ribosomal RNA is filed under the name uncultured prokaryote. RNAcentral's name for it is "bacterial SSU rRNA". It matches the Rfam family "Bacterial small subunit ribosomal RNA", at positions 355 to 774 of the family's 1533-position model. The record is from RNAcentral.
UGGGGAAUAUUGCGCAAUGGGCGAAAGCCUGACGCAGCGGCGCCGCGUGAGGGAAGAAGGCCUUCGGGUCGUAAACCUCUGUCUAGAGGGAAGAAACCAUUGAGGUCGAACAGGCCUCUUUGCUGACGGUACCUCUGAAGGAAGCACCGGCUAACUCCGGGCCAGCAGCCGCGGUAAUACGGAGGGUGCGAGGGUUAAUCGGAAUCAAUGGGCGAAAAGCGCACGUAGGCGGUGUUGUAAGUCGGAUGUGAAAGCCCUCGGCUCAACCGGGGACCUGCAUUCGAUACUGCGAUGCUUGAGUGCCGUAUAUGGUGUCGGAAUUCCAGGUGUAGGAGUGAAAUCCGUAGAUAUCUGGAGGAACACCAGUGGCGAAGGCGGCCACCUGGCCGGCAACUGACGCUGAGGUGCGAAAGCGUGGGGAUCAAACA